This is a long non-coding RNA of Panicum virgatum (switchgrass), 447 nucleotides long. RefSeq lists it as uncharacterized. The record is from RefSeq and is a predicted model, not a curated record. The transcript has 3 exons. NCBI's taxonomy places the organism in Eukaryota, Viridiplantae, Streptophyta, Magnoliopsida, Poales, Poaceae.
AGGGAUGUCAUUUCAACCAACACAGGCACCACCACGACAUUUCGGAUGACAACACUUAUAUGAUGCGGGACCUUCUUCGUAUUACCCUAUGGCGACAGCAGAAGGAACGCAAGGAUCGCACCACCAGCUUCCUGAUAUUGGUCCUUCAUCGUAUCCACCACCAACAGGUACGUAUGAUGAAUAUGUACCCAAAUAGAUGACUUAUAAGACGAUGAUUAAGAUAUUUUAAUUGCUACUGCAUAGGGGCCACACAAGAUACCUUGGAGGCGAACUUCGAAGACUGGAGUCAGUUAUUUUCUACACCUAACCAGCAGGCCGAUCCUACCUUACAGACACCUGUGGCCAUCGGACGUCCAGGUAGAGACGUAGGGCCUCCAGACCAACACACAUACCCUACAGACCACGUCCACGCACAGCGUAAAAGAGGUCGACAUGGCCGGGUGGUUA